GCUGACGAGUGGCGGACGGGUGAGUAAUGUCUGGGAAACUGCCUGAUGGAGGGGGAUAACUACUGGAAACGGUAGCUAAUACCGCAUAACGUCGCAAGACCAAAGAGGGGGACCUUCGGGCCUCUUGCCAUCGGAUGUGCCCAGAUGGGAUUAGCUUGUUGGUGGGGUAACGGCUCACCAAGGCGACGAUCCCUAGCUGGUCUGAGAGGAUGACCAGCCACACUGGAACUGAGACACGGUCCAGACUCCUACGGGAGGCAGCAGUGGGGAAUAUUGCACAAUGGGCGCAAGCCUGAUGCAGCCAUGCCGCGUGUAUGAAGAAGGCCUUCGGGUUGUAAAGUACUUUCAGCGGGGAGGAAGGGAGUAAAGUUAAUACCUUUGCUCAUUGACGUUACCCGCAGAAGAAGCACCGGCUAACUCCGUGCCAGCAGCCGCGGUAAUACGGAGGGUGCAAGCGUUAAUCGGAAUUACUGGGCGUAAAGCGCACGCAGGCGGUUUGUUAAGUCAGAUGUGAAAUCCCCGGGCUCAACCUGGGAACUGCAUCUGAUACUGGCAAGCUUGAGUCUCGUAGAGGGGGGUAGAAUUCCAGGUGUAGCGGUGAAAUGCGUAGAGAUCUGGAGGAAUACCGGUGGCGAAGGCGGCCCCCUGGACGAAGACUGACGCUCAGGUGCGAAAGCGUGGGGAGCAAACAGGAUU
This 696-nucleotide ribosomal RNA is filed under the name Shigella flexneri. RNAcentral describes it as "bacterial SSU rRNA". It matches the Rfam family "Bacterial small subunit ribosomal RNA", at positions 87 to 779 of the family's 1533-position model. The record is from RNAcentral. Lineage: Bacteria; Pseudomonadati; Pseudomonadota; Gammaproteobacteria; Enterobacterales; Enterobacteriaceae.